This 201-nucleotide ribosomal RNA is filed under the name uncultured bacterium. RNAcentral's name for it is "partial 16S ribosomal RNA". It matches the Rfam family "Bacterial small subunit ribosomal RNA", at positions 1301 to 1500 of the family's 1533-position model. The record is from RNAcentral.
UAGGCUGCAACUCGCCUACACGAAGCUGGAAUCGCUAGUAAUCGCGGAUCAGCACGCCGCGGUGAAUACGUUCCCGGGCCUUGUACACACCGCCGUCACACCAUGAGAGUCUGUAACACCCAAAGCCGGUGGGAUAACCUUUAUAGGAGUCAGCCGUCUAAGGUAGGACAGAUGAUUAGGGUGAAGUCGUAACAAGGUAUC